UCCCACACACUGGCUGUGAACUUGUUCCCAACAAAUGAGUCUGUGGGUUGGGAAUGUCAUCUAUCUGAGCAGAUAUCUGCCCAUAUACUAUCUCAUUACCAGUAAAACUCUGAGCCUAAAGGUGACACAUGGCCAAGAGCUGCUCUGCUAUUAACCAUGCACAAUCGAUGGCAGCAAAGGUUGAAGUGAGCAUAAUCUGCAACCUUUCCAUGGAAGUCUUAAACCUUUCUCACAGUGGUUCUGCCCAUUGUCAGACAAUUAUAUUAGAGAAAGGUUUUCAUUUUCAUAGCACGUUCAGAUUUUGGAGGGAAAUGCAAAGAGCAGUGAAGGAGGAAAGGCAAACCCUUCCUCCCAGGCUUCAACAGAGUCUACCCGGGAAUCAAUGAGAUGACAGAUGUUGGAGACAGAUGCCUGAAUAUCCACUCAAUAGUCAGGCUUAAUGAACUAACACAGGAAGAGCAAUUAGAGAAUUCAUUAAUUAUACUCUAAGUUCACUUUCAUUGUUAAUUCUAAUCCUUUAUUUGGGCUAAUGACUUCAGCUUUUCUUAUAAUAAUUUGUGCCUAUCAGUGAAUGAUAACAUCUUCAAAUUUCCAUAAUUGUGUAAAAUUCAAACUAUAUGUGUAGCUCUAAAUUGGACCUAAAGUAGCUUCUAAGGGUACAUAAGACACUUCAAGAUAACAUAAAUGAGGAGAAAAACAAAAAGCCAGAAAAUGCAUGACACAGGAGAAGAUGCACCCUCAUCUGUUCAGUGAGAGAUGUGC
RNAcentral lists this non-coding RNA (762 nucleotides) under Pongo abelii (Sumatran orangutan). The record is from RNAcentral. Lineage: Eukaryota; Metazoa; Chordata; Mammalia; Primates; Hominidae.